This 253-nucleotide ribosomal RNA is filed under the name uncultured bacterium. Its description in RNAcentral is "partial 16S ribosomal RNA". It matches the Rfam family "Bacterial small subunit ribosomal RNA", at positions 524 to 776 of the family's 1533-position model. The record is from RNAcentral.
UACGAAGGGGGCUAGCGUUGCUCGGAAUCACUGGGCGUAAAGGGUGCGUAGGCGGCGGAGUAAGUUGGGUGUGAAAUCCCGGGGCUCAACCUCGGAAUGGCAUUCAAUACUGCUUCGCUCGAGUACUGGAGAGGAGGCUGGAAUUUACGGUGUAGCAGUGAAAUGCGUAGAUAUCGUAAGGAAGGCCGGUGGCGAAAGCGAGCCUCUGGACAGUUACUGACGCUGAUGCACGAAGGCCAGGGGAGCAAACGGG